UACGUAGGUCCCGAGCGUUGUCCGGAUCUAUUGGGCGUAAAGCGAGCGCAGGUGGUUUAUUAAAUCUGGUGUAAAAGGCAGUGGCUCAACCAUUGUAUGCAUUGGAAACUGGUAGACUUGAGUGCAGGAGAGGAGAGUGGAAUUCCAUGUGUAGCGGUGAAAUGCGUAGAUAUAUGGAGGAACACCGGUGGCGAAAGCGGCUCUCUGGCCUGUAACUGACACUGAGGCUCGAAAGCGUGGGGAGCAAACAGG
This 252-nucleotide ribosomal RNA is filed under the name uncultured bacterium. RNAcentral's name for it is "partial 16S ribosomal RNA". It matches the Rfam family "Bacterial small subunit ribosomal RNA", at positions 524 to 776 of the family's 1533-position model. The record is from RNAcentral.